GUGCAUAGAGUGAUAGUUCAUGGUACUUCUUUUAUAAGGUAUUUUAAGUAUCCGAUAGGUUCUUUGCCUGAGAGUGCUAUUGAAGCCAGAAAUAAGGAAAACAAAACUGCUCGAAUUGGUCAUGCUCGUUUAACCUCUUUUGCAGAAAACACUGGGGAUACAGCUAAUUAUUUGUUUAUGACAUCUGAUAUGUACCUCUUUUGCAAAAAAAAUAAAAUGGAUAAAAAAAGAGUGAAAACAAAAUAGUUUAAGAAAGCAAAAUGACAGUUCUUCUGAUAACUGCUUAAAAUAAAGGAAGUAAGACCAUGAAGAAUCAUACUGAUGAGCUGUUCUGCGUUGAAUUUUUAAAAAACGGCUAUUUUCAUAGCCACAA
Non-coding RNA from Hydra vulgaris (swiftwater hydra), 373 nucleotides. The record is from RefSeq and is a predicted model, not a curated record. Lineage: Eukaryota; Metazoa; Cnidaria; Hydrozoa; Anthoathecata; Hydridae.